CCUACGGGAGGCAGCAGUGAGGAAUAUUGGUCAAUGGCCGAAAGCCUGAACCAGCCAAGUCGCGUGAGGGAAGACGGCCCUACGGGUUGUAAACCUCUUUUGUCGGGGAGCAAAGCGAGUCACGUGUGACGCAUUGAGUGUACCCUAAGAAAAAGCAUCGGCUAACUCCGUGCCAGCAGCCGCGGUAAUACGGAGGAUGCGAGCGUUAUCCGGAUUUAUUGGGUUUAAGGGGUGCGCAGGCGGAGUUGAAAGUCAGCGGUCAAAUUGCGGGGCUCAACCCAGUAUUGCCGUUGAAACUGCAUGCCUUGAGUGCGCGAGAGGCAGGCGGAAUGCGUGGUGUAGCGGUGAAAUGCAUAGAUAUCACGCAGAACUCCGAUUGCGAAGGCAGCAUACCGGGGCGCAACUGACGCUGAUGCACGAAAGCGUGGGUAUCGAACAGGAUUAGAUACCCGAGUAGUC
This 459-nucleotide ribosomal RNA is filed under the name uncultured bacterium. RNAcentral's name for it is "partial 16S ribosomal RNA". It matches the Rfam family "Bacterial small subunit ribosomal RNA", at positions 338 to 795 of the family's 1533-position model. The record is from RNAcentral.